Carassius gibelio (silver crucian carp) is the source of this 1558-nucleotide long non-coding RNA. RefSeq lists it as uncharacterized. NCBI's taxonomy places the organism in Eukaryota, Metazoa, Chordata, Actinopteri, Cypriniformes, Cyprinidae. The transcript has 3 exons. The record is from RefSeq and is a predicted model, not a curated record.
GGAAGAUUUGAAAUGGGCCUAUAAUUUGCCAGUUCACUAGGAUCUAGUUUUGGUUUCUUAAUAAGAGGCUUGAUAACCGCCAGCUUGAAUGGUUUUGGGACGUGUCCUAAAGAUAACGACGAGUUAAUGAUAUUGAGAAGCGGUUCUUCAGCUACAGAUAACAGCUCUUUCAGUAAUUUAGUGGGUACAGGAUCUAAUAAACAUGUUGUUGGUUUAGAUACAGUGAUAAGUUUAUUUAGCUCUUCCUGUCCUAUGGUUGUAAAGCACUGCAGUUUAUCUUUGGGUGCGAUGGAUGAAACUGAAGUGUUAGAUGAUGUAGAAUCUACAUUCGCUAUUGUAUUUCUAAUGUUAUCUAUUUUAUCAGUGAAGAAAUUCAUAAAGUCAUUACUGUUUAACGUUGGUGGAAUAUUUGAAUCAGGUGGCGUCUGGUAAUUUGUUAACUUAGCCACUGUGCUAAAUAAAAACCUUGGAUUGUUUUGGUUAUUUUCAAUGAGUUUGUGUAUAUGCUCUGCCCUAGCAGUUUUUAGAGCCUGUCUAUAGCUGGACAUACUGUUUUUCCAUGCAAUUCUAAAAACUUCUAAGUUAGUUUUUCUCCAUUUGCGUUCAAGACUAGGAGUUUCUUUCUCGAGAGAGUGAGUAUUAAUGUUAUACCAUGGCACAGUACGUUUUUCUCUAACCUUUUUCAAUUUGAUCGGGGCAACAGCUUCUAAUUAUGGGGUCAGAAUUGUUGCAUUAUUCCAAAUAAAUAGAUUAUUAUCCAUAAAUAAAUGUAACGAGAUUCACAAAAAUAUAUAAAACUCACAAAUAAAUAAAAUGAGAUUUGCAAAUAAAAAAAUAUAUAUUUACAAAUGUGUUUAAUGUCACAAACACAACUCUACCUGGCAUUUAUUUGUGCACCGCUGUCUGUGCAUUUGUAAAUUACUGCACGCAUUUGUGGAUCGCUUCCUGUGCAUUUGUGGAUUUGAAACACUUCUAGCGUCGACGUGCAGAUAAAUCCACAAAUAAGUGGACUCCACCCACCGUCUACUUAACCCAAUCAGACAACGCCCAUGUUGCACUGACCAAUCGCAGCACGCUCUCUCUCCAACCAAUCACGUUUUGCCUAACAACCAGGGCGGGAUCAGACACAUGAACGCGAGUCACUCGCUACAGUCUCUUCAACAUGGCCGAUCAAGAGGAGUAAAGACAGGACAGUGAGGCAGCAAAUGACAGACUAAUCCACUUUCUGAAGCUUGGAUUACCCCAGGAAAACAUCAGUAACAUUUUAGGUGUCACUCAUACAACUAUCGUUCGUCGGAUGAGAGAAUGUGUUUGGCCAGAGACAGAAUCCAAUAAUUAACCCUGAGAUGGAAUAUUCAGACUCAAUGGCAGUUGAACAAGAUGGUGGAGAUGCUGACCAUGUUCACUUUGCAGUCAACGUGCCUGUAAUUCACAGGCCACAACUCACAAAUGAGCAAAUUGACCCACUGCAAGUGUCUGAUUCAUUUGGAGUAGAUGUAUACCUCAAGACUCUCACAUAUGUACAGACUUUGAUUGAAUAAAGGGAUAUUUGAAGGUU